Molecule: long non-coding RNA, 1351 nt
Filed under: Struthio camelus australis
Lineage: Eukaryota; Metazoa; Chordata; Aves; Struthioniformes; Struthionidae
Description: lncRNA (ENSSCUG00000017638.1)
Source: RNAcentral
GACCUCAUGACUACAUAGGUACCGGAGCAAAAUAGGGCUUUCGAUGGAAAAUCAAUGUGGCUUGGCAGCUGGUAAAAUUCUUCUACAGGAAAGUGUAGAGCUGUGUUAAGGACUUGGUCAAUCCAUCACCAGCAGCACAAUUUCCAAUUCAUUGAAGAAUUUUGAAGAAAAUAAAAAUAUGAAGCAGCAGAGUCAUGGCAAGGCGAAGCAACGUAACCUUUAAAUAGCAGGAUUUUUCCACCUCUCUGACACAUCAGACAUUGGCUCCUUGCAGAAGUAGGAGAAAGAGCUUGACAGACCUGUAGUCUGAUCUUUUAUGGCAGAUCCUAAGGGCAGGGGGGACUGACACGCUUGUUAGCAUUUGACCCAGUUUAAACUAACAGAUUUUUGAAAAACAAAGACUCACUGUGAGAUUAAGCAGAGGGAAAGCUGAAACAACUUGAUACUGCAGAAAAUACUCACUACAACUGAAGAAACAACUAUCUAGGGAAGAACAAACCCGCCAAGCCAAAAAAUCUUCCUCUGCUGUGUCACACAGCUAAAAAUCCAGCUGGUAAUCGGACAAGGCUAUUGCCACAGGAGAGCAGAGUAAAUUGAAAAGGUCCCAUGGCAGAUCUGGUCUACAGGAUAAGGUUGGGUUUUUUGUGCUUUUCUCAAUCCCACCAUAUCCCUGUUCCCAGGAGAGUUCCCAGGGGGAAGAAGUAGGAAGCUCCCACUGCUCUGACACUGCUUUGAAUCCUGCUGUCCAAGGGACAAACCUAAUAAACCCUGCUAUUACUGUUAGUUUGCUUUGAAUGGGGGACACCCGUCACCUCUUGUGGAGCUUUAAUGCGCUUUGAUGGUGAAAGGAGAAAAUACUCAUAAUCCUGCUCUGAUGCUACCUCUGAUCAUCCCAGAUGUGCCUCCCAGCACAAUCCUACCAUGCACUGCUGUUUUCCAGGCCAAAGAAAUGCUUUUCCACAGCAUUUGGUUGGCCAGUGAAUAUGCGCAGCAGCUUAUGCUGCUUUGGAGCCUCAUGUUCAUUAUCCUCUCACUCUGCAAGAAAUUCCAUAUCUCCUUCAUGGACCCACCUGCAGCUGCUGUGAAAUUUCAACGCUCAGCUGUUUGCCUGAGAAGGUUUCCUGUCCUUGCCCAGUAAUGAUGGACCAGUGCUACAGGACCAGCUCUGGUGCCCAGAGCUCUCUCCUAUUUGAGCAUGGAGCUUGCAAUGGAAGCGCCUCCAAAAUGCACUGUAUCAGAACAGGUUGAGGUGCCUGCAAGCCCACAAUGCAAAGACAUGGUGGCUCUCUUGCCUUUUUUUUUUUUUUUUUCACCUGUUUUUCAUGGAUUAAUAAAGCAGUCCUCAAUGUCA